RNAcentral lists this ribosomal RNA (497 nucleotides) under uncultured bacterium. RNAcentral's name for it is "partial 16S ribosomal RNA". It matches the Rfam family "Bacterial small subunit ribosomal RNA", at positions 28 to 507 of the family's 1533-position model. The record is from RNAcentral.
GAUGAACGCUGGCGGCGUGCCUAAUACAUGCAAGUCGAGCGAACAGAUGAGGAGCUUGCUCCUCUGACGUUAGCGGCGGACGGGUGAGUAACACGUGGAUAACCUACCUAUAAGACUGGGAUAACUUCGGGAAACCGGAGCUAAUACCGGAUAAUCUAUUGAACCGCAUGGUUCAAUAGUGAAAGACGGUUUUGCUGUCACUUAUAGAUGGAUUCGCGCCGCAUUAGCUAGUUGGUAAGGUAACGGCUUACCAAGGCGACGAUGCGUAGCCGACCUGAGAGGGUGAUCGGCCACACUGGAACUGAGACACGGUCCAGACUCCUACGGGAGGCAGCAGUAGGGAAUCUUCCGCAAUGGGCGAAAGCCUGACGGAGCAACGCCGCGUGAGUGAUGAAGGUCUUCGGAUCGUAAAACUCUGUUAUUAGGGAAGAACAAAUGUGUAAGUAACUAUGCACGUCUUGACGGUACCUAAUCAGAAAGCCACGGCUAACUACGUG